UGUCUUAAAAACCCUUUUUUAUUGACUAAGAUCAACGUUUAUUAGUAAAACAUGCAAUAUAUAUAUAUAUAUAUAUAUAUAUAUACACAAAAGGACACCAACUUUAUUGCUCGUCGUCAUUUAAAGUAACAGAGGAUCAGAUGCAUCAUAAUCAUUUUUACAAAAGCAGAUCUCAUCACAAGGAAACGGGCCACGUCUAGACGGUUCCACGGGUUCUAUCUGCGGCACGUCUAGACUGUUCUACGGGUUCUAUCUGCGGCACGUCUAGACGGUUCCACGGGUUCUAGCUGCGGCACGUCUAGACGGUUCCACGGGUUCUAUCUGCGGCACGUCUAGACGGUUCCCACGGGUUCUAGCUGUGACACGUCUAGACGGUUCCACGGGUUCUAGCUGUGGCACGUCUAGACGGUUCCCACGGGUUCUAGCUGUGGCACGUCUAGACGGUUCCCACGGGUUCUAGCUGUGGCACGUCUAGACGGUUCCACGGGUUCUAGCUGUGGUAAUUCAAACAAAUGGGUACAUAGACAGACCCGGUCCGGUCCACCGUUGUCAUAGUAACGUAAAUAAUAGACGACCGAUGCUUCUAUUCCGCCCAAACCUUUCACCCUUUUUUUCAUAGCAUGAAGUAUUUCCUAAACACUAAAGAUCUUCAAGGACCAUCUACCUUUCAUCCAUACUAACACACACACACACACACACACACACACACACACACACACACACACACACACACACACACACACACACACACACACACACACACACACACACAAACACACACACAGUGCUUAAUUUGUAAAUCGGGAGGUGAAAAAAAGAAAAUUCUAAUUUUAUAAUAAAGCAUUCAUAUCCUCACAUUAGCGUAGCGGCAUAGAGCAGUAUAUCAAAUCAAAUCAAAUCGUAUAGUAGAGGCACCUACACAAGGUGCACACAUGAGGAACGUUUUCAGUAGCCUAGGGUCGGGGAACAUUUUCAGUAGCCUAGGGUCCAGGGGAACAUUUUCAGUAGCCUUGGGUUCGGGGAACAUUUUCAGUAGCCUAGGGUUCGGGGGAACAUUUUCAUUAGCCUAGGGUCCAGGGGAACAUUUUCAAUAGCCUAGGGUCCAGGGAACAUUUUCAGUACCCUAGGGUCUGGGGACAUUUUCAGUAGCCUAGGGUCCUGGGAACAUUUUCAGUAGUCUAGGGUUCGGGGAACAUUUUCAGUAGCCUAGGGUCCGGGGAACAUUUUCAGUAGUCUAGGGUCCUGGGAACAUUUUCAGUAUCCUAGGGUCCAGGGAACAUUUUCAGUAGUCUAGGGUCCAGGGGGACAUUUUCAGAAGCCUAGGGUCCGGGGAACAUUUUCAGUAUCCUAGGGUCCUGGGAACAUUUUCAGUAUCCUAGGGUCCAGGGAACAUUUUCAGUAGUCUAGGGUUCGGGGAACAUUUUCAGUAUCCUAGGGUCCAGUGAACAUUUUCAGUAUCCUAGGGUCCGGGGAACAUUUUCAGUAUCCUAGGGUCCAGGGAACAUUUUCAGUAGUCUAGGGUUCGGGGAACAUUUUCAGUAUCCUAGGGUCCAGUGAACAUUUUCAGUAUCCUAGGGUCCGGGGAACAUUUUCAGUAUCCUAGGGUCCGGGGAACAUUUUCAGUAUCCUAGGGUCCGGGGAACAUUUUCAGUAGUCUAGGGUUCGGGGAACAUUUUCAGUAUCCUAGGGUCCAGUGAACAUUUUCAGUAUCCUAGGGUCCGGGGAACAUUUUCAGUAUCCUAGGGUCCGGGGAACAUUUUCAGUAUCCUAGGGUCCGGGGAACAUUUUCAGUAUCCUAGGGUCCGGGGAACAUUUUCAGUAUCCUAGGGUCCGGGGAACAUUUUCAGUAUCCUAGGGUCCGGGGAACAUUUUCAGUAUCCUAGGGUCCGGGGAACAUUUUCAGUAUCCUAGGGUCCGGGGGGACAUUUUCAGUAUCCUAGGGUCCGGGGAACAUUUUCAGUAUCCUAGGGUCCGGGGGGAAAUGUUGUCCCUUUAAAAACGCAUUAAAUGCGAUUCUACGUCGUUUUUUUACACGACUGGAGACUUUGGUCAGAAUAUUCUUUAAUACCAAAUGAUCAAAAAAAACGACAGUCUACUUUGACACUGACAAAACUAGAGAAUUAGAGAUCAAUAUAUUUUUAAAAAACGGCCUUGUUUUGAAUUCAUCAAUAACCUGAGGCCUCGGUGUGUGGAGACACAUAUUAUAGGCUACAAUACGAGGAAAUUAUCGCCACCAAAAACAAAAAAUGCUUUCCAG
This 2257-nucleotide long non-coding RNA is filed under the name Salmo salar (Atlantic salmon). RNAcentral's name for it is "lncRNA (ENSSSAG00000094991.1)". The record is from RNAcentral. Lineage: Eukaryota; Metazoa; Chordata; Actinopteri; Salmoniformes; Salmonidae.